RNAcentral lists this ribosomal RNA (733 nucleotides) under uncultured bacterium. RNAcentral's name for it is "bacterial SSU rRNA". It matches the Rfam family "Bacterial small subunit ribosomal RNA", at positions 1 to 735 of the family's 1533-position model. The record is from RNAcentral.
UAGAGUUUGAUCCUGGCUCAGAUUGAACGCUGGCGGCAGGCCUAACACAUGCAAGUCGAGCGGAUGAGAGGAGCUUGCUCCUUAAUUCAGCGGCGGACGGGUGAGUAAUGCCUAGGAAUCUGCCUGGUAGUGGGGGACAACGUUUCGAAAGGAACGCUAAUACCGCAUACGUCCUACGGGAGAAAGCAGGGGACCUUCGGGCCUUGCGCUAUCAGAUGAGCCUAGGUCGGAUUAGCUAGUUGGUGAGGUAAUGGCUCACCAAGGCGACGAUCCGUAACUGGUCUGAGAGGAUGAUCAGUCACACUGGAACUGAGACACGGUCCAGACUCCUACGGGAGGCAGCAGUGGGGAAUAUUGGACAAUGGGCGAAAGCCUGAUCCAGCCAUGCCGCGUGUGUGAAGAAGGUCUUCGGAUUGUAAAGCACUUUAAGUUGGGAGGAAGGGCAGUAAAUUAAUACUUUGCUGUUUUGACGUUACCGACAGAAUAAGCACCGGCUAACUCUGUGCCAGCAGCCGCGGUAAUACAGAGGGUGCAAGCGUUAAUCGGAAUUACUGGGCGUAAAGCGCGCGUAGGUGGUUCGUUAAGUUGGAUGUGAAAUCCCCGGGCUCAACCUGGGAACUGCAUUCAAAACUGUCGAGCUAGAGUAUGGUAGAGGGUGGUGGAAUUUCCUGUGUAGCGGUGAAAUGCGUAGAUAUAGGAAGGAACACCAGUGGCGAAGGCGACCACCUGGACU